AGUCGAGCGAACAGACGAGGAGCUUGCUCCUCUGACGUUAGCGGCGGACGGGUGAGUAACACGUGGAUAACCUACCUAUAAGACUGGGAUAACUUCGGGAAACCGGAGCUAAUACCGGAUAAUAUAUUGAACCGCAUGGUUCAAUAGUGAAAGACGGUUUUGCUGUCACUUAUAGAUGGAUCCGCGCCGCAUUAGCUAGUUGGUAAGGUAACGGCUUACCAAGGCAACGAUGCGUAGCCGACCUGAGAGGGUGAUCGGCCACACUGGAACUGAGACACGGUCCAGACUCCUACGGGAGGCAGCAGUAGGGAAUCUUCCGCAAUGGGCGAAAGCCUGACGGAGCAACGCCGCGUGAGUGAUGAAGGUCUUCGGAUCGUAAAACUCUGUUAUUAGGGGAGAACAAAUGUGUAAGUAACUAUGCACGUCUUGACGGUACCUAAUCAGAAAGCCACGGCUAACUACGUGCCAGCAGCCGCGGUAAUACGUAGGUGGCAAGCGUUAUCCGGAAUUAUUGGGCGUAAAGCGCGCGUAGGCGGUUUUUUAAGUCUGAUGUGAAGGCCCACGGCUCA
RNAcentral lists this ribosomal RNA (569 nucleotides) under uncultured Staphylococcus sp. RNAcentral's name for it is "bacterial SSU rRNA". It matches the Rfam family "Bacterial small subunit ribosomal RNA", at positions 60 to 611 of the family's 1533-position model. Lineage: Bacteria; Bacillati; Bacillota; Bacilli; Caryophanales; Staphylococcaceae. The record is from RNAcentral.